Molecule: long non-coding RNA, 797 nt
Organism: Adelges cooleyi (spruce gall adelgid)
Lineage: Eukaryota; Metazoa; Arthropoda; Insecta; Hemiptera; Adelgidae
Exons: 3
Source: RefSeq, a predicted model, not a curated record
CUCUGAUCGGUGCCUAGCUACAGCUUGUUGCUCUGAACUCUGUCCGUAAUAAUAAUAAUAAUGCACAUAAUUUACAUAAAAAACAUUUUCUCCAUACCUAUGUACAGUCGUCGUCGUCGUCGCAUGAUUGCAUAUUGUCAUCUCGGACCGGUUCAACAAUACACGCGCUAUAUAAGAAAUGACCGUUGUAAAAAUUUGCAUAAAUUCAAUCUAUAUGCACUGUACACAAUCGGCUUUAUCGGUUUUCAAGAUUGAGAUCUCCUUCAAAAAAUGGUCGUUUGGUUUAAAAUCGAUCGACUGUUGUGUUAUGAAUCGGAUUAGUGAAAUAGAGAUUAUAUAUUAUGCUUGCUUUAUACAAUAAUAAUUAUUAUAGUAGCCAUAGAGGACAAAAAAUUGGUUGAUUUUUUGCAAUUAUAGUAGGUAUAUCUGAUUAUAUUAAAAUUAUUGCCGCGUAUACUUUUUGUUUGGAUAUUUUAACGGGCCUCUACACCAGUAUUUAUUACGUUGCAUCGUAUAGGCGAUUUUUCAAUAAAACUUAACAUUAACCAAAAUUGUUGUAAACGUUUAUGAAUUAACACAGGGUAGAAGGAUGUAUUUUUAAAUUACAUAUUUUGUUUUUUGUUCCAACUUAUUUAAUGCAUAUUUUGGACAAAAACGUAUGUCUCCACUUUGAACCACCUUAAAAAUAGUCUGAUUUAAUUUUCCAUCGUAGUGGCAUCAUUUUUUAAUUAUUUCCAUGUGAAAAAUUACAAUUUUUAAACGUGUCGAAUGAUUUUUACUAUAACAUUAAAAACAAA